RNAcentral lists this ribosomal RNA (253 nucleotides) under uncultured bacterium. RNAcentral's name for it is "partial 16S ribosomal RNA". It matches the Rfam family "Bacterial small subunit ribosomal RNA", at positions 524 to 776 of the family's 1533-position model. The record is from RNAcentral.
UACGUAGGGUGCAAGCGUUAUCCGGAAUUAUUGGGCGUAAAGAGCUCGUAGGCGGUUUGUCGCGUCGGCCGUGAAAUCUCCACGCUUAACGUGGAGCGUGCGGUCGAUACGGGCAGACUUGAGUUCGGUAGGGGAGACUGGAAUUCCUGGUGUAGCGGUGAAAUGCGCAGAUAUCAGGAGGAACACCAAUGGCGAAGGCAGAUCUCUGGGCCGUAACUGACGCUGAGGAGCGAAAGCAUGGGGAGCGAACAGG